This is a microRNA precursor of Oryza sativa Japonica Group (Japanese rice), 205 nucleotides long. It matches the Rfam family "MIR812 microRNA precursor family". The record is from Rfam. NCBI's taxonomy places the organism in Eukaryota, Viridiplantae, Streptophyta, Magnoliopsida, Poales, Poaceae.
AAAAAGUUAAACCCUAGAUUUCCGUGUCCAAUUUUAAUUGUGCGUCUUAUAUGAAAUUUUUUUAUAAUUUAUAUUUUCAUUGUUGUUAGAUGAUAAAACAUGAUUAAUAUUUUAUACGUGACUUGUCUUUUUAAUUUUUUCAUAAUUUUUUCAAAUAAGACGGACGGUCAAACGUUGGGCACGGAAACCAGAGUUUGUCUUUUUU